Molecule: ribosomal RNA, 486 nt
Filed under: uncultured bacterium
Lineage: Bacteria
Description: partial 16S ribosomal RNA
Rfam family: Bacterial small subunit ribosomal RNA
Source: RNAcentral
GACGAACGCUGGCGGCGUGCUUAACACAUGCAAGUCGAACGGUGAUCCCAGGAGCUUGCUUCUGGGUGAGCAGUGGCGAACGGGUGAGUAACACGUGAGUAACCUGCCCCUGACUCUGGAAUAAGCGCUGGAAACGGCGUCUAAUACCGGAUACGAGACGCAACCGCAUGGUUAGUGUCUGGAAAGUUUUUCGGUCUGGGAUGGACUCGCGGCCUCUCAGCUUGUUGGUGAGGUAAUGGCUCACCAAGGCGAUGACGGGUAGCCGGCCUGAGAGGGCGAUCGGCCUCACUGGGACUGAGACACGGCCCAGACUCCUACGGGAGGCAGCAGUGGGGAAUAUUGCACAAUGGGCGAAAGCCUGAUGCAGCGACGCCGCGUGAGGGAUGACGGCCUUCGGGUUGUAAACCUCUUUCAGCAGGGAAGAAGCGCAAGUGACGGUACCUGCAGAAGAAGCACCGGCUAACUACGUGCCAGCCGCCGCGGUAA